Molecule: ribosomal RNA, 467 nt
Filed under: uncultured bacterium
Lineage: Bacteria
Description: bacterial SSU rRNA
Rfam family: Bacterial small subunit ribosomal RNA
Source: RNAcentral
AGUUUGAUCCUGGCUCAGAACGAACGCUGGCGGCAUGCCUAACACAUGCAAGUCGAACGAUGCUUUCGGGCAUAGUGGCGCACGGGUGCGUAACGCGUGGGAAUCUGCCCUUGGGUCUGGGAUAACAGUUGGAAACGACUGCUAAUACCGGAUGAUAUCGCGAGAUCAAAGAUUUAUCGCCCGAGGAUGAGCCCGCGUCAGAUUAGCUAGUUGGUGGGGUAAAGGCCUACCAAGGCGACGAUCUGUAGCUGGUCUGAGAGGAUGAUCAGCCACACUGGGACUGAGACACGGCCCAGACUCCUACGGGAGGCAGCAGUGGGGAAUAUUGGACAAUGGGCGAAAGCCUGAUCCAGCAAUGCCGCGUGAGUGAUGAAGGCCUUAGGGUUGUAAAGCUCUUUUACCCGGGAUGAUAAUGACAGUACCGGGAGAAUAAGCCCCGGCUAACUACGUGCCAGCAGCCGCGGUAA